RNAcentral lists this ribosomal RNA (137 nucleotides) under Jaculus jaculus (lesser Egyptian jerboa). The record is from RNAcentral. Lineage: Eukaryota; Metazoa; Chordata; Mammalia; Rodentia; Dipodidae.
UUUAUGGCCAUACCACCCUGAAUGAACCUGACCUUGUCUCUUCUUGGAAGCUAAGCAGGGCAGGGUCUGGUUAGUACUUAGAUGGGAUUUAAGUAUGCAUUUGGGAGAAAGCUCCCAUCUGGACAGUCAGAAUAAAU